Long non-coding RNA from Oncorhynchus kisutch (coho salmon), 1041 nucleotides. RefSeq lists it as uncharacterized. Lineage: Eukaryota; Metazoa; Chordata; Actinopteri; Salmoniformes; Salmonidae. The record is from RefSeq and is a predicted model, not a curated record. The transcript has 3 exons.
AUAUUUAAUUUUUUCACCCCGUAAAAGGGCCACGGUUGGCAGCAGGGUGGAGCAAUGCAAGUUUAAUGCCGUGUUUAGACAUUGUUCUCUUUCUUAUGUCUGGUCUUCACAAGAGAAGGUCACGGGUUGUUUUAUACGAGUAUCUUUCAUUUAUUUGCACCGUAAACUCAGUCCUUUGUCUGGACAAUUGUUCCUUUAUGAUCUAGUCAGGUCAGUACAAUAGUAAAAUCCUCUAAACACGCUCUUGUGACAAACACACUUUGCUGUCCUGUUUUCUAAUCGUCCACAUGGCUGGGAGAACCUAUUCAAAUACCUUGUAACUGGAGAUUCCUUCAAACCGAUUGCCAACAGUUAACAUGUAGGGCACUGCAAGGUUGGGUGACCAGGGCCAUCUGGGACUGCCUCCUGGAGGAAUUCAGGUGUGUGAAGGCUACCUGUGUCCUGAAUAAUGUCAUGAGGAUGGACACGAGGACCAGGAGGGGGGGGAUCUGUGUGCUGGAUUUCUUCACUACAUACUUUUUUUGAGGAGGGUGCUGUUCCCUGCCAACCCCAUAGACUACACUAUGCACAACCAAAGGCUCUUAAGAGCAUUCACAUUGCAAUAAGAGUAUUCUUCCAUUUACUUAGCUAUGUCAACUGCAGUUAUAUCAGUUUGAUCUCCAUCUCUUCAUUCAAAGACUCAAUCAUGGACACUCUUACUGACAGUUGUUGCUGCUUUGCGUGAUGUAUUGUUGUCUUUACCUCCUUGACCUUUUGUGCUGUUGUCUUCGCCCAAUAAUGUUUGUACCCUGUGCUCUUGCCAUAUUGUUACUACCGUGUUGUCAUGUUGAGUUGCUACCAUGUUGUCAUGUUGCAUUGCUACCAUACUGUGUUGCUGCCACGUUGUCUUAGGUCUCUUUAUGUAGUGUUGUUGUCAUAUUGAGUUACUACCAUGUUGCCAUGUUGAGUUGCUGCCACGUUGUCUUAGGUCUCUUUAUGUAGUGUUGUUGUCAUGUUGAGUUGCUACCAUGUUGUCAUGUUGAGUUGCUACCAUGUUGUCAU